GAGGCCUACGGGAGGCAGCAGUGGGGAAUAUUGCACAAUGGGCGAAAGCCUGAUGCAGCUACGCCGCGUGAGCGAUGAAGGCCUUCGGGACGUAAAGCUCUGUCCUCAAGGAAGAUAAUGACGGUACUUGAGGAGGAAGCCCCGGCUAACUACGUGCCAGCAGCCGCGGUAAUACGUAGGGGGCUAGCGUUAUCCGGAAUUACUGGGCGUAAAGGGUGCGUAGGAGGUUGCUUAAGUCAGAGGCGAAAGGCUACGGCUCAACCGUAGUAAGC
RNAcentral lists this ribosomal RNA (272 nucleotides) under uncultured bacterium. RNAcentral's name for it is "partial 16S ribosomal RNA". It matches the Rfam family "Bacterial small subunit ribosomal RNA", at positions 334 to 624 of the family's 1533-position model. The record is from RNAcentral.